This 343-nucleotide ribosomal RNA is filed under the name uncultured bacterium. RNAcentral's name for it is "bacterial SSU rRNA". It matches the Rfam family "Bacterial small subunit ribosomal RNA", at positions 8 to 334 of the family's 1533-position model. The record is from RNAcentral.
AGAGUUUGAUCAUGGCUCAGGAUGAACGCUGGCGGCGUGCCUAACACAUGCAAGUCGAACGAGGUAUUUUGAUUGAAGUUUUCGGAUGGAUUUCAAGAUACCGAGUGGCGGACGGGUGAGUAACGCGUGGGUAACCUGCCUCAUACAGGGGGAUAACGAUUGGAAACGAUUGCUAAUACCGCAUAAGCGCACAGUACCGCAUGGUACGGUGUGAAAAACUCCGGUGGUAUGAGAUGGACCCGCGUCUGAUUAGCUAGUUGGUGAGGUAACGGCCCACCAAGGCAACGAUCAGUAGCCGACCUGAGAGGGUGACCGGCCACAUUGGGACUGAGACACGGCCCAG